Molecule: unclassified non-coding RNA, 217 nt
Filed under: soil metagenome
Description: partial contains 5.8S ribosomal RNA, internal transcribed spacer 2, and large subunit ribosomal RNA
Source: RNAcentral
AACCUUAUGGACCUGCGGGCGUAUACCUGCGGAAGGAUCAUUACAAGUGACCCCGGUUUACCACCGGGAUGUUCAUAACCCUUUGUUGUCCGACUCUGUUGCCUCCGGGGCGACCCUGCCUUCGGGCGGGGGCUCCGGGUGGACACUUCAAACUCUUGCGUAACUUUGCAGUCUGAGUAAACUUAAUUAAUAAAUUAAAACUUUUAACAACGGAUCU